UCAGAUUGAACGCUGGCGGCAGGCCUAACACAUGCAAGUCGAGCGGUAGAGAGAAGCUUGCUUCUCUUGAGAGCGGCGGACGGGUGAGUAAUGCCUAGGAAUCUGCCUGGUAGUGGGGGAUAACGUCCGGAAACGGACGCUAAUACCGCAUACGUCCUACGGGAGAAAGCAGGGGACCUUCGGGCCUUGCGCUAUCAGAUGAGCCUAGGUCGGAUUAGCUAGUUGGUGGGGUAAUGGCUCACCAAGGCGACGAUCCGUAACUGGUCUGAGAGGAUGAUCAGUCACACUGGAACUGAGACACGGUCCAGACUCCUACGGGAGGCAGCAGUGGGGAAUAUUGGACAAUGGGCGAAAGCCUGAUCCAGCCAUGCCGCGUGUGUGAAGAAGGUCUUCGGAUUGUAAAGCACUUUAAGUUGGGAGGAAGGGCAGUUACCUAAUACGUGAUUGUUUUGACGUUACCGACAGAAUAAGCACCGGCUAACUCUGUGCCAGCAGCCGCGGUAAUACAGAGGGUGCAAGCGUUAAUCGGAAUUACUGGGCGUAAAGCGCGCGUAGGUGGUUCGUUAAGUUGGAUGUGAAAUCCCCGGGCUCAACCUGGGAACUGCAUUCAAAACUGACGAGCUAGAGUAUGGUAGAGGGUGGUGGAAUUUCCUGUGUAGCGGUGAAAUGCGUAGAUAUAGGAAGGAACACCAGUGGCGAAGGCGACCACCUGGACUGAUACUGACACUGAGGUGCGAAAGCGUGGGGAGCAAAC
This 754-nucleotide ribosomal RNA is filed under the name uncultured bacterium. RNAcentral describes it as "bacterial SSU rRNA". It matches the Rfam family "Bacterial small subunit ribosomal RNA", at positions 24 to 773 of the family's 1533-position model. The record is from RNAcentral.